This 200-nucleotide ribosomal RNA is filed under the name uncultured bacterium. Its description in RNAcentral is "partial 16S ribosomal RNA". It matches the Rfam family "Bacterial small subunit ribosomal RNA", at positions 29 to 258 of the family's 1533-position model. The record is from RNAcentral.
AACGAACGCUGGCGGCAGGCUUAACACAUGCAAGUCGAGCGCCCCGCAGGGGGAGCGGCAGACGGGUGAGUAACGUGUGGGAAUCUACCUUUUGCUACGGAAUAACUCAGGGAAACUUGUGCUAAUACCGUAUGUGCCCUUCGGGGGAAAGAUUUAUCGGCAAAGGAUGAGCCCGCGUUGGAUUAGCUAGUUGGUGAGGU